Molecule: long non-coding RNA, 1844 nt
Organism: Oncorhynchus tshawytscha (Chinook salmon)
Lineage: Eukaryota; Metazoa; Chordata; Actinopteri; Salmoniformes; Salmonidae
Source: Ensembl
CUUCUAUCUACAGUACCUUCUAAUUAUACUCUACAGUACCUUCUAAUUAUACAGUACAGUACCUUCUAAUUAUACAGUACAGUACCUUCUAAUUAUACAGUACAGUACCUUCUAAUUAUACAGUACAGUACCUUCUAAUUAUACAGUACAGUACCUUCAGAAAGUAUUCACACCCCCCUGACUUUUACCACAUUUUGUUGUGUUACAAAGUGGGAUUGAAUUGCCUUUUUUGUUGUUGUAAACAAUCUAUACAAAAUACUCAAAUAAAUUUAUGGAAAAUUAAACACUAAUGUAUCUUGACUAGAUAAGUAUUCAACAUCCUGAGUAUUCAACAACAUGUUACAAUCACCUUUGGCAGCAAUUAAAGCAGUGAGUCUUUCUGGGUAAAUUGGUAAAGCUUUGCACGUCUGGAUUGUACAAUAUUUUUCCAUUAUUCUUCCAAAAAUUCUUCAUGCGUUGUCAAUUUAGUUGUUAAUCAUUGCUAGACUGCCAUUUUCAAGUCUUGCCAUAGAUUUUUAAGUAAGUCAAAACUGUAACUAGGCCACUCAGUAACAUUCAAUGUGCUCUUGGUAAGUAACUCCAGUGUAUAUUUGCAGACUGAACCAAGUUUUCCUCUAGGAUUUUGCCGGGGGCUUAGCUCUAAUACGUUUCUUUUUAUCCUGAAAAACUCCCUAGUCCUUGCCGAUGACAAGCAUAUCCAUAACAUGAUGCAGCCACCACCAUGCUUGAAAAUAUGAAGAGUGGUACUCAGUGUUGUGUUGGAUUUGCCCCAAACAUAAUUUCUGUGCCACAUUUUUUUUUGCAGUAUUGCUUUAUUGCCUUGUUUGCCAACAGCAUGCAUGUUUUGGAAAAUGUUUAUUCUGUACAGGUUUCCUUCUUUUCAUCCUGUCAUUUAUGUUAGUAUUGUGGAGUAACUACAAUGUUGUUGAUCCAUCCUCAGUUUUCUCCUAUCACAGUCAUUAAACUCUGUAACUGUUUUAAAGUCACCAUUGGCCUCAUGGUGAAAUCCCUGAACGGUUUCCUUCCUCUCCGGCAACUGAGUUAGGAAGGACACCUGUAUCUCUGUAGUGACUGGGUGUAUAGAUACACCAUCCAAAGUGUAAUUAAUAACUUCACCAUGCUCAAAGGGAUAUUCAGUGUCUGCUUCUUCUUUUUUUUACCCAUCUGCCAAUAGGUGCCCUUCUUUGCGAACCAUUGGAAAACCUCCCUGGUAACAUAAUUCCACUUUGACAUUACGGAGGAUUGUGUGUAGAUCAGUGACACAAAAUCUCCAUUUAUUUCAUUUUAAAUCCAGGGUGUAACACAACAAAAUGUGGGAAAGGUCAAGGGGUCUGAAUACUUCCUGAAGGCCCUGAACCUAUAUGUCAUUAUGUGAGUCCCAAAUGGCAUCCUAUUCCCUUUUAUAAAGUAAGUAGCCUUGUCUGAACCAGAAUGUCCCAUAGGGCAGGAGCCUGUCUCCUGUUUCUGUAGCGUGAGGCAGCUUGAUGUACAACUCCACCCCCCGGAAAGGACGCUAGCCUAUCGCAGGGCCCAUAGCCCAAAGUAACGCACAAUAGACUGCCAUUUGGGGCUCAUUGUUAUUCCUGGUUUAUUCAUGCACUGGAAAUUAUUUUCUGUGUAUAAGAAGGAUUUCAUCUAUUGUGCUUUAACCAUGUAUUUAGUGUGACUUGAUUUGUCAUUCACAUCUCAGUAAAUGUACUGUAUGUUUGUAGAGAUGGAUCAAAUGCCUUUUUAUACUGAUAUACUUAAAGCUGCAAUAAAAUAUACAUUUGGAAUGAGAACAUUUUAGUGAGUGAUAUUUUUCAUUAAAACAUCUUGCAGCAUGGACUCAUUGGAAAAUGAAA